Molecule: ribosomal RNA, 253 nt
Filed under: uncultured bacterium
Lineage: Bacteria
Description: partial 16S ribosomal RNA
Rfam family: Bacterial small subunit ribosomal RNA
Source: RNAcentral
UACGUAGGGUGCAAGCGUUAAUCGGAAUUACUGGGCGUAAAGCGUGCGCAGGCGGCUUUGCAAGACAGAUGUGAAAUCCCCGGGCUCAACCUGAGAACUGCAUUUGUGACUGCAAGGCUAGAGUACGGUAGAGGGGGAUGGAAUUCCGCGUGUAGCAGUGAAAUGCGUAGAUAUGCGGAGGAACACCGAUGGCGAAGGCAAUCCCCUGGACCUGUACUGACGCUCAUGCACGAAAGCGUGGGGAGCAAACAGG